RNAcentral lists this ribosomal RNA (293 nucleotides) under uncultured bacterium. RNAcentral's name for it is "partial 16S ribosomal RNA". It matches the Rfam family "Bacterial small subunit ribosomal RNA", at positions 505 to 796 of the family's 1533-position model. The record is from RNAcentral.
GUGUCAGCAGCCGCGGUAAUACGUAGGGGGCGAGCGUUGUCCGGAUUUAUUGGGCGUAAAGGGCUCGCAGGCGGCCUGGCCAAGUCGUGCGUGAAAUCUCUCGGCUUAACUGAGAGCGGUCGUGCGAUACUGGUCGGCUCGAGGCCGGUAGGGGGAAGCGGAAUUCCGGGUGUAGUGGUGGAAUGCGUAGAUAUCCGGAGGAACACCAGUGGCGAAGGCGGCUUCCUGGACCGGUCCUGACGCUCAGGAGCGAAAGCGUGGGUAGCGAUCCGGAUUAGAUACCCUUGUAGUCC